This 492-nucleotide ribosomal RNA is filed under the name uncultured bacterium. Its description in RNAcentral is "partial 16S ribosomal RNA". It matches the Rfam family "Bacterial small subunit ribosomal RNA", at positions 29 to 507 of the family's 1533-position model. The record is from RNAcentral.
AGUGAACGCUGGCGGUAGGCCUAACACAUGCAAGUCGAACGGCAGCACAGUAAGAGCUUGCUCUUACGGGUGGCGAGUGGCGGACGGGUGAGGAAUACAUCGGAAUCUACUUUUUCGUGGGGGAUAACGUAGGGAAACUUACGCUAAUACCGCAUACGACCUACGGGUGAAAGCAGGGGAUCUUCGGACCUUGCGCGAUUGAAUGAGCCGAUGGCGGAUUAGCUAGUUGGCGGGGUAAAGGCCCACCAAGGCGACGAUCCGUAGCUGGUCUGAGAGGAUGAUCAGCCACACUGGAACUGAGACACGGUCCAGACUCCUACGGGAGGCAGCAGUGGGGAAUAUUGGACAAUGGGCGCAAGCCUGAUCCAGCCAUACCGCGUGGGUGAAGAAGGCCUUCGGGUUGUAAAGCCCUGUUGUUGGGAAAGAAAAGCAGCAGGUUAAUACCCCGCUGUUCUGACGGUACCCAAAGAAUAAGCACCGGCUAACUUCGUG